UUCAGGAUGAACGCUAGCUACAGGCUUAACACAUGCAAGUCGAGGGGCAGCAUGGUCUUAGCUUGCUAAGGCCGAUGGCGACCGGCGCACGGGUGAGUAACACGUAUCCAACCUGCCGUCUACUCUUGGACAGCCUUCUGAAAGGAAGAUUAAUACAAGAUGGCAUCAUGAGUCCGCAUGUUCACAUGAUUAAAGGUAUUCCGGUAGACGAUGGGGAUGCGUUCCAUUAGAUAGUAGGCGGGGUAACGGCCCACCUAGUCUUCGAUGGAUAGGGGUUCUGAGAGGAAGGUCCCCCACAUUGGAACUGAGACACGGUCCAAACUCCUACGGGAGGCAGCAGUGAGGAAUAUUGGUCAAUGGGCGAGAGCCUGAACCAGCCAAGUAGCGUGAAGGAUGACUGCCCUAUGGGUUGUAAACUUCUUUUAUAAAGGAAUAAAGUCGGGUAUGGAUACCCGUUUGCAUGUACUUUAUGAAUAAGGAUCGGCUAACUCCGUGCCAGCAGCCGCGGUAAUACGGAGGAUCCGAGCGUUAUCCGGAUUUAUUGGGUUUAAAGGGAGCGUAGAUGGAUGUUUAAGUCAGUUGUGAAAGUUUGCGGCUCAACCGUAAAAUUGCAGUUGAUACUGGAUAUCUUGAGUGCAGUUGAGGCAGGCGGAAUUCGUGGUGUAGCGGUGAAAUGCUUAGAUAUCACGAAGAACUCCGAUUGCGAAGGCAGCCUGCUAAGCUGCAACUGACAUUGAGGCUCGAAAGUGUGGGUAUCAAACAGGAUUAGAUACCCUGGUAGUCCACACGGUAAACGAUGAAUACUCGCUGUUUGCGAUAUACUGCAAGCGGCCAAGCGAAAGCGUUAAGUAUUCCACCUGGGGAGUACGCCGGCAACGGUGAAACUCAAAGGAAUUGACGGGGGCCCGCACAAGCGGAGGAACAUGUGGUUUAAUUCGAUGAUACGCGAGGAACCUUACCCGGGCUUAAAUUGCAGAUGAAUUACGGUGAAAGCCGUAAGCCGCAAGGCAUCUGUGAAGGUGCUGCAUGGUUGUCGUCAGCUCGUGCCGUGAGGUGUCGGCUUAAGUGCCAUAACGAGCGCAACCCUUGUUGUCAGUUACUAACAGGUUCCGCUGAGGACUCUGACAAGACUGCCAUCGUAAGAUGUGAGGAAGGUGGGGAUGACGUCAAAUCAGCACGGCCCUUACGUCCGGGGCUACACACGUGUUACAAUGGGGGGUACAGAGGGCCGCUACCACGCGAGUGGAUGCCAAUCCCCAAAACCUCUCUCAGUUCGGACUGGAGUCUGCAACCCGACUCCACGAAGCUGGAUUCGCUAGUAAUCGCGCAUCAGCCACGGCGCGGUGAAUACGUUCCCGGGCCUUGUACACACCGCCCGUCAAGCCAUGGGAGCCGGGGGUACCUGAAGUGCGUAACCGCGAGGAGCGCCCUAGGGUAAAA
This 1440-nucleotide ribosomal RNA is filed under the name uncultured organism. RNAcentral's name for it is "SSU rRNA". It matches the Rfam family "Bacterial small subunit ribosomal RNA". The record is from RNAcentral.